UUUCGCAAUGCCCGAAAGGGUGACGAAGCGACGCCGCGUGAGCGAAGAAGGCCCCAGGGUUGUAAAGCUCUGUCGAGGGUUAGGAAAUAUAGAUGGGUUAAUACCCCAUUUAUUUGACAAAAGCCCCAAAGGAAGUCACGGCUAACUCUGUGCCAGCAGCCGCGGUAAUACAGAGGUGGCAAGCGUUGUUCGGAAUUAUUGGGCGUAAAGAGCACGUAGGUGGAUUUGUAAGUCAGAUGUGAAAGCCUUCUGUUCAACGGAAGAAUUGCAUCUGAAACUGCGAAUCUUGAGUAUAGGAGGGGAGAAUGGAACUUCUGGUGGAGCGGUGAAAUGCGUAGAUAUCAAAAGGAACGCCGGCGGCGAAAGCGAUUCUCUGGCCUAUUACUGACACUGAGUGUGCGAAAGCUAGGGGAGCAAACGGGAUUAGAUACCCCGGUAGUCCUAGCCGUAAACGAUGGGCACUAAGUAGAGGGGUUUUA
This 479-nucleotide ribosomal RNA is filed under the name uncultured bacterium. RNAcentral's name for it is "bacterial SSU rRNA". It matches the Rfam family "Bacterial small subunit ribosomal RNA", at positions 364 to 833 of the family's 1533-position model. The record is from RNAcentral.